ACAGAAGAAUCAUAGACGAACAAGUGUUGGAAAUGAAUGAACUACAAAACAAGGGACGUUCUCUUUGAAAACUGAAGAAACAUAGAGAGGCUCAGAUUCGCCUUUGAUCCAUCAUUCAUCUUUUGUAAUGACCAAAAACCUCACCCAAAAUGAUCUAGCCAGAAGGUUAUGAAUUAAUGUCCUUGCCCUGCUAUGAUCUAGCCAGAAGGUUAUGAAUUAAUGUCCUUGCCCUGCUAUGACCUCCUAGACACAAUCGAUGUGGAACUAAACAAACACCUGCAU
This 282-nucleotide long non-coding RNA is filed under the name Elaeis guineensis (African oil palm). RNAcentral's name for it is "long non-coding RNA (EGUI_LNC018088)". The record is from RNAcentral. Lineage: Eukaryota; Viridiplantae; Streptophyta; Magnoliopsida; Arecales; Arecaceae.